UGAGCCGACCGGGCGGCCGCGAUCCCCGAACUUCUCUCGUCGUGGGAGGAAGCGGAGGUCGAGGAAAGUCCGGACUCCACAGAGCACGGUGGUUGCUAACGGCAACCCGGGGUGACCCGCGGGCUAGUGCCACAGAAAGGAAACCGCUGGUCUCCUGCAGGCCAGUAAGGGUGAAAGGGUGCGGUAAGAGCGCACCGGCAGGUCGGGUGACCGGCUUGGCCAGGUAAACCCCACCGGGAGCAAGGCAUGAAGUUGCACUGUGAGGUGCGGCGGAACGGAUGUUUGAGGGCUGCUCGCCUGAGUCCGGAGGUAGCUGCUUGAGGCGCCAGUGGGCGUCCUAGAUGGAUGGUCGCCACCCCGCCCGAGGGCGGGGGACAGAAUCCGGCUUAUAGGUCGGCUCAUUCG
This 405-nucleotide RNase P RNA is filed under the name Corynebacterium uropygiale. Its description in RNAcentral is "Bacterial RNase P class A". It matches the Rfam family "Bacterial RNase P class A". Rfam says of the family: Ribonuclease P (RNase P) is a ubiquitous endoribonuclease, found in archaea, bacteria and eukarya as well as chloroplasts and mitochondria. Its best characterised activity is the generation of mature 5'-ends of tRNAs by cleaving the 5'-leader elements of precursor-tRNAs. Lineage: Bacteria; Bacillati; Actinomycetota; Actinomycetes; Mycobacteriales; Corynebacteriaceae. The record is from Rfam by way of RNAcentral.